RNAcentral lists this transfer-messenger RNA (351 nucleotides) under Leptospiraceae. RNAcentral's name for it is "JACKPA01 sp024233865 Standard tmRNA". It matches the Rfam family "transfer-messenger RNA". Rfam says of the family: Bacterial tmRNA, also known as 10Sa RNA or SsrA, is named for its dual tRNA and mRNA-like properties. Its role is to liberate the mRNA from a stalled ribosome. Lineage: Bacteria; Pseudomonadati; Spirochaetota; Leptospiria; Leptospirales. The record is from RNAcentral. RNAcentral also lists the same sequence under 1 other name.
GGGGACGACACUGGUUUCGACUGUUGGAUGUCCGGGGUAUAGUGGCAUGUAGGGGUGAAGGUCCUCUUAAAAACUUUCAAAACAAUAAACGCAAACAACGAAUUAGCUUUAGCAGCCUAAUAGUGCUGUUAACGGGAUACAAUUCUAAUCCUCUGGUGGAUUGAUGUUCCGACGCAAACAGAGGGCGGAAUUUUGAAUUUGAUGUCUUGUUGAAAUUCUGUAAAAAAGACAUUGUAGAGGUAAAAACCUGGUUGGGGGUUCAUUUUCCUUGAAAUUCAUACACAACCUAAACAUGUAGAAGCUAUAUUGAGGCCUAAUAGGACGUGGGUUCGACUCCCACCGUCUCCAGGU